AGAUGCCCUGUUCCACUUUGAACCUUGAUUAAAGCUGCCCAGGCUGAGCUGUCAGCGUGACUCAGCGGCAGCACCGAUACCCAGUGUUCACACUGAGCUGCUCACUCCUGUGCAGAGUUUGCAUUACAGAUCUCCUGAGAAACUUUAUGUAAGACAAAGGCACCAAACACAGCCUAUGCAUUACAUCAAGGUCCAUAACAAACACAGUUACACCAAUUUCAUCUGAGAACUGAAAACAAAAAUCCAAACUUGAUGUAGCUAUAAAUCUUAAAAUCUUCUCUCCCUCUAUGUUUUUUUAAAGGAGAGUAAGUUAUAGCUGGAAUUCUCUAUUAUUUGAGCUUAUCUUCAAUCAGUUCUUGAAAGAUUUGUCCCCCCUUACUCUUGGACCGUAGAAAAUGUGUAUCUUCAAGAAGUUAUUAUGUGGACUGGCUGAUAUUUUUGUAAGCUUAAUAAAUAAGAAUUUUUUUAUUAAUAAAUCACAGUAGAGAUGCAUGAAAGUUAAUUUUAUGGAGGUCAGCCAUUCUGUCAUCCAGGAUAGACAGGAUCUUAAUUGGGACAUAAAGAACAAGCAGAAUAGAAAAUAAAGGAAAAAAUAAUCGGGAUCUUCUCGAAACAUCUCUCACUUCAGCCUUUCUUCGAACAGCACAAAGUAGGAUCUGGCUGACAGCAUUUAUUCCCUUGAAGGUCAGCUUUAAAAGAAAGAGCUACUGUAGCUACCUCAAAAGCCUGUGAAGCUUUCAUUUUUUUUUCCCUCAGUGGAGGAGAGAGCGUGAACUCUGGAAGAAGGCAAGAGAAGAGGCAGCCAUGUGCUGACCCAGGGAGAUGCUCCCAUGGAAAUACAGCUCGUUCCCCACAGUGGGGUCCUGCUCUGCAGAGCCCAGAGGGGAAUGCAGAAAGCUCCCUCACUGUGACAGAGAAAGAUGAGUUUCCAUGCUGAGUCACCUCUCUCUCAGUGCCUCUCCUAUCUGACAGUGUUGAGCCAGCAAACACUGACUUUCCGUGGCAAAAUGCCUGAGAGAGGAGAUUAGGCUGCCUUUGUUUGUAGCUGUUUCAUUUAUUAGGUCACGAGGCUCCUGAAGUCAUCAUGGGGCUGUUUGAAAACAGCAACACGCGAGGCCAGAGCACAGGCAGAGAAGGUUCCUUUGCAAAUGUGCACCGCUUGCAUUUGGUUACUUUUAACCGAAAGAGGAUUUACAGCAUCAGCAAGUGAAAAUCACACAGACAAAUCACACAGCACCUACAGACAGCUCUGCCAAGUGACAUCUGGACUUAGUGAUUUAACUAUUAUCAGGGUGCUUGCAUUUGAAACAACCCUGGCCCUCUUGAUCAGGUGAGGCAGACUUGGAGAGGGGCACAUAGCACUACUUUGGAAAAGUUGUGCUAAUUAUCAAGAGUUACUCUUUUUUUUAUUUGUAAUCAGAUUUUCUGCUUCUGUAAUUCCCUUCUUUUUAUGACAUUUAUGGUUAAAUUGCAAGACUUUCAUUUACAUACUGUUACAGUAUGGUUUGCAUGGCCCUAGGUGGAAGAUAGUAAGUUGUUAACUAGGCUUCCAGCACUCAACAACUGAAACCCACAAAAAUAUGCAAACUAAACUGCAGAGAGGACUGAGAGAGAACAGAGUUUAAAAAAAAAAAACCCAAACCAAAAAAAAAAACCCACUAAAGCAAAAGCAUCUCCACCCCCUUUUGUUAAGUGGUAGUUUUGACAUGUCUGCCACCAGACUGAAUUGAAAGGGGAGGCUCACUCUGAAUUUUUUUGUGGGAAGCUAAAUGACACAAAUGGAAGUGUCUUUUUACAAUGCAUCCUGUGCUGGAAAUUCAACUGCUGUGUCAACUUCACAAAACAGUAUUAUAAAUUCAUUCAGAAAGGGACUCAGCAAAUUAAUGAAGACAGAUCAAUCAGGAGCUAUUAAACACCACAGUCUGAGGUGCACAGGUUUUUGCCAAAAGUGGACAAGGUGUCCCAAAGGAAAAAUCACACUAUGGAUAUUUCAUUCUUCAAGCUGUUUCCUAAUCAUCUGUCACUGGCCUCUGUCGGAAACCGGACACAAAGUUCAGUCAAUAUUUUAACCAAGUCAGUAGGAAACCUUUGCUGUCAGCCUCAAGUUUAAAAUAAGCAUGGUUGAGAAUACAGUAUGUGCCAGAGGAAGGCAAACAGCAGAGCUCCUGGCUCCCAAGCGAGCCAGAAAAGUAAUUUUCUGCAUGAAAUGCUCCAAGUAAUAAAGUAUCUUUAAAGCUUUA
This is a long non-coding RNA of Parus major (Great Tit), 2240 nucleotides long. RefSeq lists it as uncharacterized. Lineage: Eukaryota; Metazoa; Chordata; Aves; Passeriformes; Paridae. The record is from RefSeq and is a predicted model, not a curated record. The transcript has 2 exons.